CGUGGUAAGUUCCCCGUCUAAAUCACGGCACCUAGCAUUCUUGAGUAAACCUUUCGGUAAUUUACAAAGGCUGUUGAAUUUUAUAGUAAGUGUUUUUCAAACCAAGCUGGAUUCUAAACAAUAAUGACUUUUUAAUGUGGCUCUGUGAUUACAUUGUCAUGGAGAAAUACGGGGGUCUCUGACUGCAUCCGAAAUGAGCCUGGUGUGAAUUACUUGCCGGCACAGACCAGCGCGGCCGCAGGUAAAGCAAUCUUCAUAAAUCACCCUCCAAUCCGGGUGGCCUGGCAGGCGAGGCCUGAUGCCAGUGUUGGCAACUUAAAUUUCAGCGGACAAUUUGUAAACAAGCUCUUCCUUUUGUUCCGGAGCGGUGGCCACAGCUGAGGGCCUCUCCGUGGCGGAGGGCUGUGCCGCCUCGGUCCGCUGGGCAGACACUGGCUGUGACCUUGUAUGACGCCGGGUACGGGGCCACCAGCCUGCAAGCCUGCUGACAUGAAAGGUCUGAAGACUGAGGCCCGGAGUGGUGAUGACCCUACCAGCCUGAGGCUGCACAUCCAGGAGCUGGGAUCCAAGCUUCCUCCCCACCCAGCGGUGUAGGCUCAAGAUGCACUCCCAAGGUGGGCUCUGGGGGAAGCCAGGGUUCUGCCUGGUCUGGUCCAUGUCGCUGCUGAGAGGAGCCUCCAACCUGCUCGGAGUCACGGUCCGAGUCCUCACCGUGUGCUGGUCGGGGGGGCCAUCCGUCAGCAGACACCCCGCUGUCAGAGCUCCCCCUGUUCAGCUGAGAGCUCUCCUUCUAAGGCUGCAAAUUCAUCUGACGGGGGUCCUGUGUGUGCUCACCUCCACCCGUUUGGGCUGCUGUGGCCGAGCACCCGCACGCCGGGCGGCUUAUGAUCAGAAAUCUAUUCCUCGCGGUUCUGGCGGCGGCAAAUCUAGAUUAAAGCGCGAGCACGUUCAGCGCUGAGUGAGGACCAGCUUCCCGGUUCAUAGUGUCCGGGUCUCCUCGCUGUGUCCUCACUGGUGGGAGAGUUCAGGGGUCUCUUUCAUUAGCGCACUAAUUCCACUCUUGGGGGCUCCACGCUCAGGACCUCGUCACCUCCUGUAGACCGGCCUUCAAAUGCCAUCACCUUGGGGGUUAGGUGUCCACAUGUGAAUGGGGGGGGGCACAAUCAGUCCAUCACAGGCUAUACUUUUCAAACAAGCACCAAAUUACUGUUUUCCUUUGGGUCACGCCUUAAGGCUUGUGGGGUCUUGGUUCCCUGACCAGGGAUCAAAGCUGUGUCCCCUGCAUUGGAAGCAUGGAGUCUUAACCA
Capra hircus (goat) is the source of this 1307-nucleotide long non-coding RNA. RefSeq lists it as uncharacterized. The transcript is spliced from 3 exons. The record is from RefSeq and is a predicted model, not a curated record. Lineage: Eukaryota; Metazoa; Chordata; Mammalia; Artiodactyla; Bovidae.